Molecule: non-coding RNA, 243 nt
Organism: Paramuricea clavata
Lineage: Eukaryota; Metazoa; Cnidaria; Anthozoa; Malacalcyonacea; Plexauridae
Source: the annotation of a GenBank genome assembly
GUGCCGAACAGUUAUUUUGAAUAAUAAAAGGGGGUUGCUAGCUGCUUUGAUAAACCAUUAAUGUGCAAGAUGCUUGGCACCAAGUGCUUCACUUGCACAUAAAUCACCUAAGCCCUGUUUACACUACGCUCAAUUUUUGGUAUGGCACGGAUAAAAUUGGUACCCGUAUACCACUUUUUUGGCUUUUGGACUACCUAUUUAGCUAAGCCCUGUUUACACUACGCUCAAUUUUUGGUACCGUAC